AUUGCAUUCGUUAUGGAACUGGACUACCUCUGGGCGUGUGCCAGGUUCCCCAUCCAAAACCCAUGGCUAAAUAGGUUCAAAACAAAAGUGAAGUAGCCUAGGCUAGAUUAAGCACUUGUAGUAAAGAUUUGCUUGAUAAAAACGCUAUAUCUACCUUCCUAAUGAAAAUUCGUUUAAAAAAAACAUAUUUUAUGGAUGUUUUAUGCUGAGAAUUUGACCAAGCGGUACAGAUUGCGGUUCGAUUUAAGAUAGGCGCUCCUCGCUACCUUUGCCCGUUCACCAUAGAGCGGUGCACCGCGGCUCAGGUUAAUAGAACUCCCUCCGUCUGAAACCGCGUGAGAAAGUUGCCUUUGAGACAAGCUAACGUUAUAUUUUGUUGUGAUGGUAUAGUGGGGGUUGUUAUUAUCAAAACCUUUCUUGCACAACACCCCCAUUUACUCGAAUACAGGUUAUUCUUCGGAUAACGAAUAUUAAUUUAUACCGAGCAUUCACCACAAGCUAUUGCGGCAAGUCAAAUUGCAAUUAACUUCUGUGGAUUUGUCUCAGUAGCCUACGCUUCUCAUUACCGCGUUGUGGGUUUGGCUUGUUGACUAACUGGAGUUUCGGGCUAUUCGUAUAUUGCUGGGUGGACAGGAUUACACGGUCUACAUGAAUAGGAGGACUAUUAGGUUACUUUUUUUUGUCCUCACCUGUUCUUUUUCUCCCUUCUAUGGUUAAUACAUGAUCGUAUGCUGGAGUAGCCUACAGCGAGUGAAAAGGAGAUUCUUACAUACAUCAUUCACCGGAGCACCGCUGAUAGAGAGUUGACUGGAGAUCUAUGAGGACAAAUGGUCGGACGUGUUUGUGGCAUUUAACGGACAGUCUCGGAAGGAGCUAGGAUGAAUUUAUCGUAACCUGGAGCAUCCUCGCGCCUGUCCCUAUUUUGUUAGCAGACGGGUUUAUCAGGAACCGGGCAUCUGCCGAGGUAGAACGAUGUAUCCCCAGGGUCGACACCCGACACCCCACCAGGCCCCAGGCCAACCUUUCAAAUUCACCAUCCCAGAGUCACUGGACCGCAUCAAAGAGGAGUUCCAGUUUCUCCAAGCUCAGUACCACAGUUUGAAAUUGGAGUGUGAGAAGCUGGCCAGUGAGAAGACAGAGAUGCAGAGGCACUAUGUUAUGUACUAUGAAAUGUCUUACGGGCUGAACAUUGAAAUGCACAAACAGACUGAGAUUGCCAAGAGGCUCAAUACCAUCUGUGCACAAGUCAUCCCCUUCCUCUCACAGGAGCACCAACAGCAGGUGAUCCAGGCAGUGGAGAGGGCCAAGCAGGUCACCAUGGGCGAACUCAAUUCUGUCAUCGGGGUACGUGUCCUUCCCGGUCUACCACCCACACAUCAGCAUCUGUCCCACGCGCACGGCCCCCAUGUCCCCCUCACCCCCCACCCGGCUGGGCUCAACCCAGCCCACUUGGGGGGAGGGGCCAGCCUCCUCGCCCUGUCCAGUGCCCUGGGGGCGCCACCGCACCACCUGGUGGGCAAAGAGGACAAGAAACAUCCGGCGGAGGCCGAGCAGCUAAGAGAGCAAGAGCCCGGCACAAGUAAUACCCUGCUGGUUGCUGACAGUUUGAGGAACUCAGACAAGCGACGCAACGGACCUGAAUUCCCCAACGACACCAAGAAGAGGAAAGUAGAGGACAAGGACUCUAGUCAUUAUGAUAGUGAUGGAGAGAAGAGUGAAGACAAUCUGGUGGUGGAUGUCUCCAAUGAGGAUCCUGCCUCCCCUCAUGGUACGCCCCUGCCCUCCCCCAGAGAGAACGGAUUGGACAAGACACGCCUCCUGAAGAAGGACCCAUCCUGUAGCCCUGCCUCCACAGCCUCCUCUGCAAGCUCCUCCUCCCUCAAGUCCAAAGAGAUGGGAAUGCGUGACAAGCCGGGUACGCCUCAACCGAAGUCGAGCACUCCCACUCACCGAGGAGACUCCACACCCGGACCCAGUGCCACACCCACUCUCCGCCCCAGCCUAUCCAAGCCCCCCUCCAUGGAGCUACCUCACCCACCUACUGCUGGUCUGCGGACUCCGCUGGCCGUGUCAGGGCCGUACCCCGGGCCGUUUGGCAUGCUGCCUCAUGCCGCCAUGAAUGGGGAGCUGGCAAGUGCUGGCACAGGCUACGCCGGCCUCCACAACAUGUCCCCUCAGAUGAGCGCUGCGGCGGCUGCCGCUGUGGCUGCCUACGGACGCUCCCCUAUGGCCGGCUUUGACCCUCAUCCUCACAUGAGAGUCCCUGGAAUGACCCCAAGCUUAUCAGGCAUCCCUGGAGGCAAACCAGCCUACUCCUUCCAUGUUAGCGCCGAUGGACAGAUGCAGCCGGUACCGUUCCCUCCAGAUGCCCUGGUGGGCCCUGGCAUCCCGCGCCAUGCACGCCAGAUCAACACACUGAACCAUGGUGAGGUGGUCUGUGCUGUCACCAUCAGCAACCCCACGCGCCAUGUCUACACAGGCGGCAAGGGCUGCGUCAAGGUCUGGGACAUCAGUCAUCCUGGCAACAAGAGUCCUGUGUCCCAACUGGACUGCCUGAACCGAGACAACUAUAUCCGCUCGUGCCGGCUGCUCCCCGAUGGCCGGACGCUCAUCGUGGGGGGGCGAGGCCAGCACACUGUCAAUCUGGGACCUAGCCACGCCCACUCCACGCAUCAAGGCAGAGCUGACCUCCUCAGCCCCGGCCUGCUAUGCCCUGGCCAUCUCCCCUGACUCCAAGGUGUGCUUCUCCUGCUGCAGCGAUGGGAACAUCGCCGUCUGGGACCUGCACAACCAGACCCUGGUCAGACAGUUCCAGGGCCACACAGACGGAGCCAGCUGUAUUGACAUCUCCAACGAUGGGACCAAGCUGUGGACGGGGGGGCUGGACAACACCGUACGCUCCUGGGACCUAAGAGAGGGACGCCAGCUGCAGCAGCACGACUUCACCUCACAGAUCUUUUCUCUGGGGUACUGUCCGACGGGAGAGUGGCUGGCGGUGGGGAUGGAGAGUAGUAAUGUGGAGGUGCUCCACGUCACCAAGCCAGACAAGUACCAGCUCCACCUCCACGAGAGCUGUGUGCUUUCCCUUCAGUUUGCUUCCUGUGGAAAAUGGUUUGUGAGCACAGGGAAGGAUAACCUGCUGAAUGCGUGGAGGACACCGUACGGAGCCAGUAUAUUCCAGUCGAAGGAGUCUUCGUCCGUGCUAAGCUGUGACAUCUCAGUGGAUGAUAAGUACAUAGUUACAGGUUCUGGAGAUAAGAAGGCCACUGUCUAUGAAGUCAUCUACUAGACUGCACUGGUGAGCACUAGCAUCAGCAACUGACAACCAAAAGUAGCUUUCACUGUCCUAAAACCAACCCUGGGUCAGGGGAUACUGCAGAAAGUUCUACACCCUUUGACUUUUUCCACAUUUUGUGUUACAGCCUGAAUUUAGAUUUAUUUUUGGUCACCGGCCUACACAAAAUACCCCAUAAUGUCAAAUGGGUUUUGAGUCAAUAAAAGUAUUCAACCCCUUUGUUAUGGCAAGCCUAAAUAGGAGUAAAAAUGUGCUUAACAUGUCACACAAUAAGUUGCAUGGACUCUGUGUGCAUGGACUCUGUUUUAAAAUGAUUUAUGAAUGACUACCUCAUCUCUGCACCCCACACAGUGCAAUUAUCUAUAAGGUCCCUCAGUUGAGCAGUGAAUUUCAAACAAUGAUUAAACAACAAAACACCAGGGAGGUUUGGAUAAAAAUUGAAAAAGCAGACAUUGAAUAUCCCUUUUUAAAUAACUUCCCAUAGUGAAGUUAUUAGUUACACUUCGGGUGGUGUAUCAAUACACCCAGUCACUAAGAUACAGGCAUCCUUGCUAACUCAGUUGCCGGAGAGGAAGGAAACCGCUCAGGAAUUUCACCAUGAUGCAAAUGGUGACUUUAAAAUAGUUUAAUGGCUGUGUUAGGAGAAAUCUGAUGAUGGAUAGCAUUGUAGUUACUCCACAAUGCUAACCCAAUUGACAGCGUGAAAAGAAGGAAGCCUGUACAGAAUACAAAUAUUCCAAAACAUGCAUCCUGUUUGCAACAAGGCACUAAAGUAAUACUUCAGAAAAUGUGGCUAAGCAAUUAACAUUUUGUCCUGAAUACAAACUGUGAUGUUUGGGACAAAUCCAAUACAACACAUUACUGAGUACCACUCUCCAUAUUUUCAAGCAUAGUGAUCAAUCACAGAACAACAGCAAAGGACCUUGUGAAGAUGCUGGAGGAAACGGGUACAAAAGUAUCUAUUAGAGGUGGACCGAUUAUGAUUUUACAAUGCCGAUACCUAUUUAUUGGACGACCAAAAAAAGCUGAUUCUGAUUAAUGGGCAAAUUUUAUACAUGUAUUUGUAAAGAUGACAAUUACAACAAUAUUGAAUGAACAAUGAACACUUUUAUUUGAACUUAAUAUAAUACAUCAAUAAAAUAAAUUUAGUCAUAAAUAAAUAAAUAAUGAAACAUGUUAAAUUUGGUUUAA
Oncorhynchus gorbuscha (pink salmon) is the source of this 4486-nucleotide RNA transcript. It is a transcript of the gene named transducin-like enhancer protein 1, with no coding region annotated. The transcript is spliced from 20 exons. NCBI's taxonomy places the organism in Eukaryota, Metazoa, Chordata, Actinopteri, Salmoniformes, Salmonidae. The record is from RefSeq and is a predicted model, not a curated record.